Molecule: non-coding RNA, 2703 nt
Organism: Myodes glareolus (Bank vole)
Lineage: Eukaryota; Metazoa; Chordata; Mammalia; Rodentia; Cricetidae
Source: RefSeq, a predicted model, not a curated record
GCUUAUGGCCAGAAGACAUUCUCAAAAUGACUUGCUAGACAUGCUGUCAGAGUGGUCAUAGAGAUCCAACGAACCAGCAACUUCACAGCUGAGACCGUCCAAGAGCCAGAGAACUAGCUCUUGCCUGCGGAUCAAGACUUGCUGAUCCAGAGGUCUACGUCGAGAGCCACGGACCAUUAUCAGGUCCAGGUCGUAUACACCAAUGCCUCAGGAGCAGCUUCAGCACCAGCGCCAUAGUAAUGCUCACUUACUUCUUGAAAACUAAGGACAGUGAACUAACGGAGAGAUGCUCAGCAGUUACGAGCACUGGCAGCGUUUGCAGAGAACCUGGGUUUGUUUCCCAGCUCUCACGUGGAGGCUCACAACUGUCUGUAACUCCAGUUCCGGGGGCUCUUAUGCCCUCUGCUGGCCUCCAUGGGCACUGGAUGCAUGUCGUACAUAUAUAAAUCUAAAUUCAAAUAAAUUUUUAACAAAGAUAAACUACUGACAUUGAAAGAAAAAUUAUAGCUAUAAAUAACAACUAAGGACAGAAAUAAUAACUUAGAACAAGACACACAGUGUUAUCUUUGUAUUAAUAUCCUUAGGAGAGACAGGAAAGACACAGUAGGUGUUGCUAAGAUAGCUGUGGGCAUGGAAUAUACGUUUGAAACAGUGGAUGAUCCUGGGCUGGAGAAGCAGAUGCAGUGAGAUGAAACUGGGUGACCUCCAUUAUACUGUUCUCUCUACAUGUAUAGAAAAGCGAGAGUGUCUCAAGUAGAUCUAGCACAUCUUAUGUAGAACAAACCUCCAACUUCAUCUUCUUGGGCUCACUGGGCAAAGGCAGCUGUCUCUAAGCCUGAAAGCCUGAGUUCAAUAUGUUUAGAAAAUUAAAUCUCUAACAUCAAGUCCCCAUGGGCCCUGCUGAAUGCUUUUCCGAGUCACGUUAGGGAAGCUGACGUUCUAGCCCAAGUUCUAACAAGCUCCCAGGUGCUAGGAUUCUGCUGGACUCUGGGUCACACUUGAGGAGCAGGGAGAAAGAAAACCACAGCACCCCAUGGCUACUAACUAGAACCCUUUUUUCUAUGCAGGUCACCUGGUAGGCACAAAUAUGAAGAAAAUAGAGGCUUUUAUUAAUAUGGGAAAAGGAGAAGAAAGAAUAUUCAUUAUCACGCUUCAAAAACCACUGCCCAAACAGUUGAGCCAUCACGAGAAGAGAGCCCAGAGGAUAAUGAUGUCAGACAAGACUUAGGCAGUUUAAAUAAAUCUCACUCUCCAGCAGACCUAGUGUUUACAUAUUAAGGAGCUUUGUACCAGAACUGCGCUGUCAUGUUUCUGCCUAGAAGCUGUCAGGAUAAAGUUUACUAUCAAUUACUGCUUUACAAGUAUAAAAUAAGUUAAGCUGUCAUCAUUUUCUCUGCCAGAGAUCCUAAACUGUCAAAGAAUGCCAAUUUUUAAUCUGACACAGAGAAGAAAAUUAUCUGUUAUUCUGACCUCUAAUUUCUUGACAUUUUAAUGCCAUAAUUGCUGUGGUUAGUGCUGGUUCAUGACUUCACCUGUCAGGGAAGAAUGAGUCAAUAACCUUAAGCUAUUUCUCAAAUUUUCGUAGUAACUUCAAAGCUGAAAAUUCUAGGCAGAUCAUAGAAUUUUUAAACAAAGGGGACAUAUUAGUCUUUUAUGGUGAUGUUUAGCAUUUUAAAAAACAUUAUCUUAAUUAGUCAAAUUGACAUUAUAAAACAAACACAAAAAACUAGUCUUCCUGUGGUCUUAUAUAUUAAUGAUCUUUGCAUUAAAAAUAUCAAAAUAAUCUACUUUUUAAAGGAGUCUGUGUUCAAUCUUUCAGACUGAAGCAUCUCUCUCAAGUUAGGGUCUAGUUGGGCAGGUCUACAGGGUUCCAACAGGGAUGUUGAAACCAGUACUGCACCUCUCCAGGGGUCUUUCAUGGUGAUAAUGUGCAGGGAGGGCAUAAACGACCAUCAACCAUAGACGCACUAGCUUCAGAGCUGUGUCUCACGACCAUGGAGGCUGAGUCCCACUUUGUAGAGCAACUGAGAUAGUGAGUGAGAUUCCGCACUCUGGCUCUCUUCAGCUAUCCGGUAGCUCUUGAGUGGUUUGUAGCUUUUGCAGAAGACUGUUCUUCAAGCUCGUAAAUGGUAGGACAGGACAUUUUGUAGGAACAUGUGUCAUUCUAACUUAUUUACUGACAUUAAUGGGAAUGUAUGAGAGGGAAUGAUGGUGGGUAAUAGGAGAGAAAAAAAGUUAAUUCAUAUUCCUUAAAAGCCCUCAAUCUGUUGUUUGCAUCACACUAAUGGUCUCUUGUUGCUCUUGAGGAGGUGAAGCAGCUUCCUCAGCAAUCCUGAAUUGAUAGUGAUCUUCAAAGCCAGUGCAAACACCUCUGCUGACCUGUGUUAGGGCCUGUGCUAGCUGGAGGGAGAGGGUGUGUUACGAGAGUAUCAUAGCUCUAAGAGACAACAACUCAGACACCUGGGCAAGGGUUUGAGGAGGAAAGGACGCACAACCUAGUUUGGGUCUGAGGCUGGCAGCGUUUCGGCAUCCAGCGAGUGUUUACACAGAAGGAGAUGCUCAAAGGAGCCAAGUCCUAAACAGAGACAUCCGGCCUAGCACUAGACAGUCUGCAUCAUUUUUUAUUAUUGGGGUAAUAAAAACUCAUAAUGUAACAGAUUCUGUUCAGAGCAUCAACAUAAUAAGCAAACACAAGGCUGGACC